This 520-nucleotide ribosomal RNA is filed under the name uncultured bacterium. RNAcentral describes it as "bacterial SSU rRNA". It matches the Rfam family "Bacterial small subunit ribosomal RNA", at positions 26 to 518 of the family's 1533-position model. The record is from RNAcentral.
AGGACGAACGCUGGCGGCGUGCCUAAUACAUGCAAGUCGAACGGUCUUUCUAUGGAAGCUUGCUUCCACUGAGAAGAUAGUGGCGAACGGGUGAGUAACACGUGGGUAACCUGCCCAUAAGAGGGGGAUAACAUCCGGAAACGGGUGCUAAUACCGCAUAGUUUUCUUGAUCGCAUGAUUGAGAAAGGAAAGACGGCCUUUGUGCUGUCGCUUAUGGAUGGACCCGCGGCGUAUUAGUUAGUUGGUGAGGUAACGGCUCACCAAGACGAUGAUACGUAGCCGACCUGAGAGGGUGAUCGGCCACAUUGGGACUGAGACACGGCCCAAACUCCUACGGGAGGCAGCAGUAGGGAAUCUUCCGCAAUGGACGAAAGUCUGACGGAGCAACGCCGCGUGAGUGAAGAAAGGGUUUUCGGAUCGUAAAACUCUGUUGUCAGAGAAGAACAAGUUGGAGAGUAACUGCUCCAGCCUUGACGGUAUCUGACCAGAAAGCCACGGCUAACUACGUGCCAGCCGCGGC